GGGUUGUGAGGUUAAGCGACUAAGCGUACACGGUGGAUGCCCUGGCAGUCAGAGGCGAUGAAGGGCGUGCUAAUCUGCGAUAAGCGCCGGUAAGGUGAUAUGAACCGUUAUAACCGGCGAUACCCGAAUGGGGAAACCCAGUGUGAUUCGUCACACUAUCAUUAACUGAAUCCAUAGGUUAAUGAGGCGAACCGGGGGAACUGAAACAUCUAAGUACCCCGAGGAAAAGAAAUCAACCGAGAUUCCCCCAGUAGCGGCGAGCGAACGGGGAGGAGCCCAGAGCCUGAAUCAGCAUGUGUGUUAGUGGAAGCGUCUGGAAAGGCGCGCGAUACAGGGUGACAGCCCCGUACACAAAAGCGUAUGUGCUGUGAGCUCGAUGAGUAGGGCGGGACACGUGGUAUCCUGUCUGAAUAUGGGGGGACCAUCCUCCAAGGCUAAAUACUCCUGACUGACCGAUAGUGAACCAGUACCGUGAGGGAAAGGCGAAAAGAACCCCGGCGAGGGGAGUGAAAAAGAACCUGAAACCGUGUACGUACAAGCAGUGGGAGCACCCUUUGGGGUGUGACUGCGUACCUUUUGUAUAAUGGGUCAGCGACUUAUAUUCUGUAGCAAGGUUAACCGAAUAGGGGAGCCGGAGGGAAACCGAGUCUUAAUUGGGCGUUAAGUUGCAGGGUAUAGACCCGAAACCCGGUGAUCUAGCCAUGGGCAGGUUGAAGGUUGGGUAACACU
Molecule: ribosomal RNA, 729 nt
Filed under: Salmonella enterica
Lineage: Bacteria; Pseudomonadati; Pseudomonadota; Gammaproteobacteria; Enterobacterales; Enterobacteriaceae
Description: partial 23S ribosomal RNA
Rfam family: Bacterial large subunit ribosomal RNA
Source: RNAcentral